Molecule: ribosomal RNA, 850 nt
Filed under: uncultured archaeon
Lineage: Archaea
Description: bacterial SSU rRNA
Rfam family: Archaeal small subunit ribosomal RNA
Source: RNAcentral
CGGAGGCUACCGCUAUUGGAGUUCGAUUAAGCCAUGCGAGUCGAGAGUCUUAGGGACUCGGCGUACCGCUCAGUAACACGUGGGUAACCUGCCCUAUGCUGGGGAAUAACCUCGGGAAACUGAGAAUAAUGCCCCAUAGUCCACCAUGCCUGGAACGGUUGGUGGAUCAAAGCUCCGGCGGCAUAGGAUGGGCCUGCGGCGUAUCAGGUUGUAGGGGGUGUAAUGUACCCUCUAGCCAUCAACGCGUACGGGUGUUGGGAGACAUAGCCCGGAGAUGGAUUCUGAGACACGAAUCCAGACCCUACGGGGUGCAGCAGGCGCGAAAACUUGGCAAUGCGAGCAAUCGUGACCAGGGAACUCCAAGUGGCUGGGGUAAGACCCAGUCUUUUCUUGACUCUUCAAAGGUCUUGGAAUAAGGGGUGGGUAAGGACGGUGCCAGCCGCCGCGAUAAUACCGGCGCCUCAAGUGGUAGUCGAUUUUAUUGGGCCUAAAACGUCCGUAGCCUGUUUGGUACAUUCGUGGGUAAAUCAACCAGCUCAACUGAUUGAAUUCUGCGAGCACGGCCAGACUUGGGACCGGGAGAGGUGUGGGGUACGCUCAGGGUAGGGGUAAAAUCCUGUCAUCCUGAGCGGACCACCUGUUGCGAAGGCGCCACACUAGAACGGAUCCGACGGUCAGGGACGAAGCCUAGGGGCACGAACCGGAUUAGAUACCCGGGUAGUCCUAGGUGUAAACGCUGUGGACUUGGUGUUGGGGAUUCUCCGAGGAUUCUCAGUGCCGAAGCGAAGGUGAUAAGUCCACUGCCUGGGGAGUACGGUCGCAAGGCUGAAACUUAAAGGAAUUGGCGGGG